CGGGAGGCAGCAGUUAGGAAUCUUCGGCAAUGGGGGAAACCCUGACCGAGCGACACUGCUUGGAGGAUGAAGGUUUUCGGAUCGUAAACUCUUGAACGAGGGACGAAUAAUGACGGUACCUCGNUAAUAGCACCGGCUAACUCCGUGCCAGCAGCCGCGGUAAUACGGGGGGUGCAAGCGUUAUCCGGAAUCACUGGGCGUAAAGGGCGCGUAGGCGGUAUGUUAAGUCCGAUGUUAAAGACCGAGGCUCAACCUCGACACGGCGUUGGAUACUGGCAAGCUGGACGGUUGGAGAGGAAGGUAGAAUUACCAGUGUAGCGGUGGGAUGCGUAGAUACCGGUAGGAAUACCCAUUGCGAAGGCAGCCUCCUGGACAACACGUGACGCUGAGGCGCGAAAGUGUGGGGAGCAAACCGGAUUAGAUACCCGGGUAGUCCACACCCUAAAC
RNAcentral lists this ribosomal RNA (447 nucleotides) under uncultured bacterium. RNAcentral describes it as "bacterial SSU rRNA". It matches the Rfam family "Bacterial small subunit ribosomal RNA", at positions 342 to 807 of the family's 1533-position model. The record is from RNAcentral.